GCCGAAGUGGUGGAAUUGGUAGACACGCCAUCUUGAGGGGGUGGUGGGCACCCGCCCGUGGGAGUUCGAAUCUCCCCUUCGGCACCA
RNAcentral lists this transfer RNA (87 nucleotides) under Dissulfurirhabdus thermomarina. RNAcentral describes it as "tRNA-Leu". It matches the Rfam family "tRNA". From Rfam's summary of the family: Transfer RNA (tRNA) molecules are approximately 80 nucleotides in length. Lineage: Bacteria; Pseudomonadati; Thermodesulfobacteriota; Dissulfuribacteria; Dissulfuribacterales; Dissulfuribacteraceae. The record is from RNAcentral.